CCUAGAUGACAGGUUGAUAGGUACAGCAAACCACUGUGGUACAUGUAUACCUAUGUAACAAACCUGCACGUUCAGCACAUGUACCUCAGAACUUAAAAGAAAAAAUAAUAAGGUGCUAAUCCAUGUUUGAUGGUAGAAUAUUCAAGACUUAAUCACUUCCCCAAAAGCCCCACUUCUUAAUACCGCCAUGAUAGGAAUUAAGUUUCAACCUGACUGGUGGAGGGGACACCAUCACUGAAACCAAAGCACUUGCUAACAACUGAUCUUCCCAAAGAGUUUCCAAGAAUGUAAGUUCUCUCAAGUGACAUACUCAACGCAAGGUAGUAUUUUACUUUGGAUGGGGUGGCCUAUUUUCAUCUCUUUUUCAGAUUAGCAAAUUCUAUUUUAGUUCUCAUAAUUUGAAUGGGAGCUGAUUCCUCCCAGGGUCUCAGUGAUUCAGCCUCUUUGCCGCACACUCAUAUUUCUGGCCUGAAAUUCUUUUGAGGUUGAAGCGGAUAGACUAGGUUUCCUCUCUUUUGAUUGAAGGAUGGAAAGGCUGAUGACACACAGGCCAGGUGACAGCAGAGCAGCUCAGCACAAGGGCCGAGGCUGGCUGCAGCUCUGACGGGCAUGUUCUGGACUUCAGCAAGUAUGGAACCUCCCUGUGCCUCAGUUUAUACACUUGUAAAUGGGUGGAUAAUAAUGGCACUGUCAAUCAGGAAUCCAGACUCAGAAAGGCACAAACUCCUGGCCACAACCCCUGCUGCAGACGGAGGGAGUCUGGGGCCCCAGGAGGAUCCGGAUGCUGGUGCUGUCGGCUGUGGAGAGAAAAGACAUGCUUGAGGAGAACUGGGCCCUGUCUAUGGCUCAGCCUUCCAGGGUAUCUAAUUCUGGUUCUAAGGGAACUGUUUCACAACUUGCUAAGGUGCAGACAACUGACAGCAAUGCCGAGAGAUGACUCCAUUGCAGCCAGGUGAGCUCAGUCCUGUGGCGGCUCUGCUGGCUACCUUCUCACAGCGGAAGGGCCCAGCGUGGUUCCAUCUGCACAUUCCCCUACAUAUUCCAGACCUACACACCCAUGGGUUGUCUGAUUCUCCUUCCUUGUAACUGGUUGUAAGAUCUUACUAGUUCUCUCA
This 1115-nucleotide long non-coding RNA is filed under the name Pan troglodytes (chimpanzee). RNAcentral's name for it is "lncRNA (ENSPTRG00000053462.1)". Lineage: Eukaryota; Metazoa; Chordata; Mammalia; Primates; Hominidae. The record is from RNAcentral.